CCGGAGAGGGAGCCUUAAAAACGGCUACCACAUCUAAGGAAGGCAGCAGGCGCGCAAAUUACCCAAUCCUGAUACAGGGAGGUAGUGACAAGAAAUAACACAGAGAGUGCUUUUUGCAUUUCUCUUUAGAAUGAGUAGAAUUUAAAUCUCUUUUCGACUAUCAAUUGGAGGGCAAGUCUGGUGCCAGCAGCCGCGGUAAUUCCAGCUCCAAUAGCGUAUAUUAAAGUUGUUGCGGUUAAAAAGCUCGUAGUUGGAUUUCUGUCGAGAACGCGCGGUCCACGCUUUGCGUGAGUAUCUGUGUCGGUCUUGGCAUCCUCUGGAGGUGCGUUUCUGCGCUUGAUUGCGUGGAGCGGAACUUCAGACUUUUACUUUGAGGAAAUUAGAGUGUUCACGGCAGGCAAACGCCUUGAAUACAUUAGCAUGGAAUAAUAACAUAGGAUCUCGGUUCUAUUUUGUUGGUUUCUAGAGCUGAGAUAAUGAUUAAUAGGGAUAAUUGGGGGCAUUCGUAUUAACACGUCAGAGGUGGAAUUCUUGGAUUGUGUUACGACGAACUACUGCGAAAGCAUUUGCCAAGGAUGUUUUCAUUGAUCAAGAACGAAAGUAAGGGGAUCGAAGACGAUUAGAUACCGUCGUAGUCUUAACCAUAAACUAUGCCGACUAGAGAUUGGAGGUCGUUUUUUUUAUGACUCCUUCAGCACCUUAUGAGAAAUCAAAGUCUUUGGGUUCCGGGGGGAGUAUGGUCGCAAGGCUGAAACUUAAAGGAAUUGACGGAAGGGCACCACCAGGAGUGGAGCCUGCGGCUUAAUUUGACUCAACACGG
Molecule: ribosomal RNA, 820 nt
Filed under: uncultured eukaryote
Lineage: Eukaryota
Description: SSU rRNA
Rfam family: Eukaryotic small subunit ribosomal RNA
Source: RNAcentral